Molecule: ribosomal RNA, 546 nt
Filed under: Camelus bactrianus (Bactrian camel)
Lineage: Eukaryota; Metazoa; Chordata; Mammalia; Artiodactyla; Camelidae
Description: partial large subunit ribosomal RNA
Rfam family: Bacterial large subunit ribosomal RNA
Source: RNAcentral
CACCUCUAGCAUUACUAGUAUUAGAGGCACUGCCUGCCCAGUGACAUUAGUUAAACGGCCGCGGUAUCCUGACCGUGCAAAGGUAGUAUAAUCAUUUGUUCUUUAAAUAGGGACUUGUAUGAACGGCCACACGAGGGUUCUACUGUCUCUUGCUUCCAAUCAGUGAAAUUGACCUCCCCGUGCAGAGGCGGGGAUACACAAAUAAGACGAGAAGACCCUAUGGAGCUUUAAUUAACUAACUCAAAGAAAAUAUAAAUAACCGCCAAGGGAUAAUAAUCUUCUACCUGAGUUAGCAAUUUCGGUUGGGGUGACCUCGGAGAACAGAAAAACCUCCGAGUGACUAAAAUCUAGACUUACCAGUCAAAAUGUAGUGUCACUUAUUGAUCCAAAAUAUUUGAUCAACGGAACAAGUUACCCUAGGGAUAACAGCGCAAUCCUAUUCAAGAGUUCAUAUCGACAAUAGGGUUUACGACCUCGAUGUUGGAUCAGGACACCCCAAUGGUGCAGCCGCUAUUAAAGGUUCGUUUGUUCAACGAUUAAAGUCCU